AAGGGCUAGCUCAUCGCCAAGCAUGAUGGAAGAUCAUUUGAAAGCUAUCAGCACAACUUUAGCACGAGUUGAGGAAAAGAUAGACCAACACGAAUAUGUAUCCCCUGAAACAACCAUGCUAUCAGAGCCUCCUCUCAAAAAAGCUAACUUUCAGACGGAUGGAGUCACUGUAACCAUCAAUGAAACUGUGUCAAUGCCACUCGAUCAGUGGCUGCACUGUCAAAGAGAAAAGAAAGAGAGUCUUUU
Molecule: long non-coding RNA, 246 nt
Organism: Ornithodoros turicata
Lineage: Eukaryota; Metazoa; Arthropoda; Arachnida; Ixodida; Argasidae
Exons: 3
Source: RefSeq, a predicted model, not a curated record